ACGCUGGCGGCAGGCCUAACACAUGCAAGUCGAGCGGUAGAGAGAAGCUUGCUUCUCUUGAGAGCGGCGGACGGGUGAGUAAUGCCUAGGAAUCUGCCUGGUAGUGGGGGAUAACGUUCGGAAACGGACGCUAAUACCGCAUACGUCCUACGGGAGAAAGCAGGGGACCUUCGGGCCCUUGCGCUAUCAGAUGAGCCUAGGUCGGAUUAGCUAGUUGGUGGGGUAAUGGCCCACCAAGGCGACGAUCCGUAACUGGUCUGAGAGGAUGAUCAGUCACACUGGAACUGAGACACGGUCCAGACUCCUACGGGAGGCAGCAGUGGGGAAUAUUGGACAAUGGGCGAAAGCCUGAUCCAGCCAUGCCGCGUGUGUGAAGAAGGUCUUCGGAUUGUAAAGCACUUUAAGUUGGGAGGAAGGGCAGUAAAUUAAUACUUUGCUGUUUUGACGUUACCGACAGAAUAAGCACCGGCUAACUCUGUGCCAGCAGCCGCGGUAAUACAGAGGGUGCAAGCGUUAAUCGGAAUUACUGGGCGUAAAGCGCGCGUAGGUGGUUCGUUAAGUUGGAUGUGAAAUCCCCGGGCUCAACCUGGGAACUGCAUUCAAAACUGACGAGCUAGAGUAUGGUAGAGGGUGGUGGAAUUUCCUGUGUAGCGGUGAAAUGCGUAGAUAUAGGAAGGAACACCAGUGGCGAAGGCGACCACCUGGACUGAUACUGACACUGAGGUGCGAAAGCGUGGGGAGCAAAC
Molecule: ribosomal RNA, 746 nt
Filed under: uncultured bacterium
Lineage: Bacteria
Description: bacterial SSU rRNA
Rfam family: Bacterial small subunit ribosomal RNA
Source: RNAcentral